ACGGGUGAGUAACACGUGGGUAACCUACCCAUCAGAGGGGGAUAACACUUGGAAACAGGUGCUAAUACCGCAUAACAGUUUAUGCCGCAUGGCAUAAGAGUGAAAGGCGCUUUCGGGUGUCGCUGAUGGAUGGACCCGCGGUGCAUUAGCUAGUUGGUGAGGUAACGGCUCACCAAGGCCACGAUGCAUAGCCGACCUGAGAGGGUGAUCGGCCACACUGGGACUGAGACACGGCCCAGACUCCUACGGGAGGCAGCAGUAGGGAAUCUUCGGCAAUGGACGAAAGUCUGACCGAGCAACGCCGCGUGAGUGAAGAAGGUUUUCGGAUCGUAAAACUCUGUUGUUAGAGAAGAACAAGGACGUUAGUAACUGAACGUCCCCUGACGGUAUCUAACCAGAAAGCCACGGCUAAUUACGUGCCAGCAGCCGCGGUAAUACGUAGGUGGCAAGCGUUGUCCGGAUUUAUUGGGCGUAAAGCGAGCGCAGGCGGUUUUUUAAGUCUGAUGUGAAAGCCCCCGGCUCAACCGGGGAGGGUCAUUGGAAACUGGGAGACUUGAGUGCAGAAGAGGAGAGUGGAAUUCCAUGUGUAGCGGUGAAAUGCGUAGAUAUAUGGAGGAACACCAGUGGCGAAGGCGGCUCUCUGGUCUGUAACUGACGCUGAGGCUCGAAAGCGUGGGGAGCAAACAGGAUUAAAUACCCUGGUAGUCCACGCCGUAAACGAUGAGUGCUAAGUGUUGGAGGGUUUCCGCCCUUCAGUGCUGCAGCAAACGCAUUAAGCACUCCGCCUGGGGAGUACGACCGCAAGGUUGAAACUCAAAGGAAUUGACGGGGGCCCGCACAAGCGGUGGAGCAUGUGGUUUAAUUCGAAGCAACGCGAAGAACCUUACCAGGUCUUGACAUCCUUUGACCACUCUAGAGAUAGAGCUUUCCCUUCGGGGACAAAGUGACAGGUGGUGCAUGGUUGUCGUCAGCUCGUGUCGUGAGAUGUUGGGUUAAGUCCCGCAACGAGCGCAACCCUUAUUGUUAGUUGCCAUCAUUUAGUUGGGCACUCUAGCGAGACUGCCGGUGACAAACCGGAGGAAGGUGGGGAUGACGUCAAGUCAUCAUGCCCCUUAUGACCUGGGCUACACACGUGCUACAAUGGGAAGUACAAAGAGUCGCUAGACCGCGAGGUCAUGCAAAUCUCUUAAAGCUUCUCUCAGUUCGGAAUGCAGGCUGCAACUCGCCUGCAUGAAACCUGAUCGCU
RNAcentral lists this ribosomal RNA (1246 nucleotides) under Enterococcus faecalis. RNAcentral describes it as "bacterial SSU rRNA". It matches the Rfam family "Bacterial small subunit ribosomal RNA", at positions 102 to 1336 of the family's 1533-position model. Lineage: Bacteria; Bacillati; Bacillota; Bacilli; Lactobacillales; Enterococcaceae. The record is from RNAcentral.